CACAGCUGGGGGCAGGGAGCUGGUCCAGAAAGGUCUGGAGGGGUCUGGCUCUUCUGCCAGGGUGGGUGGCCAGGGUCCCUGAGGUCAAGCUUGGGCUCUAGAGGGCUAAGGGUUUGAAGGAAAGGGCAGGAUGCUUGGCUUUGGCUCUUGGGCAGCUGGAGGUCUGUAUACCCUGUGUCCAUUCCCUCCUCUGCCAUCUCAGAGUUAAGAUGGGGUAGGGGGAGAGCAGAGAGAGAGAGAGAGAGAGAAGAGACAGACAAAAGUGAGUGAGAGAGAAUGGGGAAAAAAUGACAGAAGCCGGAGUAAGUGAUUGAGAAAAGGGACAGAGAUACUGAGAGAGAAAAGAAUAGUGAACAAUGGAGAGAUGGAAGACAGUGAAAUGAGAGAGAAACAAAGAGACUGCAGAAAAGCUGGACACAGGGCUAGACCCCAGGGUGGAAAGACUGACAGAGAGCAGAGAGCAAGGAAGGGAGCGAGAAGAGAGGGACAGAUGGUCCGAGGGGCAGUUUGACCACCUCCCCUUCCUGGUCUGUCCCCUCAGGGCUCCUCCCCCCAUGCACAACACCCCCCCUCCACCCCAAGCCUGGCACACCAGACCAGGGCAGCCUUAACGAGCCCCGGGCAGCAUCAGGAAUGGUGAGAGAAACCUGAGCGCUCCCAGAGUCCCCGGCACCCAGCACCCACCCCUAGCAGCUGGUUUGGGGCUGGCACUUGCCCCGCCCCAGAGCAGCCCAGCUCCUUGACCCUUUUCCCAGCUCUAGAUUCUCUUAAGCCCCCAUUCCCUCAAGCCCCCAUCUCAGAAGAGACAGAUGAGUUCUGGAAAAGGGAAUAGAAGAAAAUACGUAUUGUGGAGCCGCUAAUGUGCCAGCUAUGAGACGAGGAGAGGGGCAGAUGGCAGCUCACGGGCCGAGUGGGCAGAAGCAGAGCUCUCUCGUUUCAGGUCCUGCCUAGCCCUAGGCCCUUUGAUCCCGCUCGCACCGAGCCACAACCAAGCCACAUCCAACUCCUUCCAUCCUGCUGAAGUCUGGUCUUUUUCUUCCUCCCUUUCCCAGAAAUUUUGGCCAGGUCGGAGUCUCAGCCCCUUGGCUGCCUUAGGUCAGGUCUGGGGCCUCGAGCCCUUGUAGUAAAGAAGGGGAGUGUCUGCCUUGAGCUAGCUCAGGGAGGGGUCCUGUCUGGUAAGAACAGGAGCCAGGAGAGGUGUUAGGGUAGGGCUGUGGGUUAGUGCUGGUCUUGGAGGUUGGGCCAGGAUGAGAGUGAGACAAGAUAUAUGGUUGGCGUUAGGGUUGCAAGUUGUAUUAGGGCCCUAACCCCAGGUGGUGAAAAGCCUGGAUCAGCAAUGGGUUAAGAUGGGGGGAUUAGACUCUGGAGCCAAGGGAGGAACUGGAUUGGAGACUGGACCGGGAUCUCAUCUCUAAUCCAUCUCUUUUUCUCUUCAGGCCUUUUGGCCUCUUCUCCCUCCCCAGCAGUUCCUGAAACUGGGGAAUGAGGGGAGAGCCUUGAACUCCUGCGUCUUGGGUUCUUGACCAAAUCCCAUGUUUCUGUUCCUUUCUGCCUUGAUUUCCCUCAUCUGGACAGGAGGCAGGUGGAGGGCUGGAAAGGCUUUGAAGUCAAAGAUUAAAGGAACAAGGGGAUGAUUAUGAACAACUACUUAAACCAUCAUCCUUAAUAACCCCAGGGUGGAUGUAGGCGGGGGCGGGGCCUAAAGGGAGGAGGUGGCCAGGAAGGGAAGAGAGGGAAGAUCCCUGGGAAAUCUUCCCAACCUGACAGGACAGGGCCUUCUUCGAUGCCCCCUCUCCCCAUGGGACCCAGUUGGAGAGGACAGUAAGAAAGGCCCAGAACAAGGAACGGAGCCCAGAACCACCAUCUGCUUAAACCUGGGCCCACAGUCUAGAUCUUAAGCAGGUAGGCCGGGCCCCACCUGCUGGUCAGGGCCACCACGUACAUGGACUCAAUGGGCCUCAGUAUUUGGAAGCUGAAAGCCUACAAUGGCAUGGCCCAGG
Felis catus (domestic cat) is the source of this 2000-nucleotide long non-coding RNA. RefSeq lists it as uncharacterized. The record is from RefSeq and is a predicted model, not a curated record. The transcript is spliced from 3 exons. Lineage: Eukaryota; Metazoa; Chordata; Mammalia; Carnivora; Felidae.